RNAcentral lists this ribosomal RNA (303 nucleotides) under uncultured bacterium. Its description in RNAcentral is "partial 16S ribosomal RNA". It matches the Rfam family "Bacterial small subunit ribosomal RNA", at positions 507 to 807 of the family's 1533-position model. The record is from RNAcentral.
AGCAGUAGCCGCGGUAACACGUAGGGUGCGAGCGUUAAUCGGAAUUACUGGGCGUAAAGCGUGCGCAGGCGGUUUUGUAAGACAGGCGUGAAAUCCCCGGGCUCAACCUGGGAAUGGCGCUUGUGACUGCAAAGCUAGAGUGCGGCAGAGGGGGAUGGAAUUCCGCGUGUAGCAGUGAAAUGCGUAGAUAUGCGGAGGAACACCGAUGGCGAAGGCAAUCCCCUGGGCCUGCACUGACGCUCAUGCACGAAAGCGUGGGGAGCAAACAGGAUUAGAUACCCGAGUAGUCCCUGUCUCUUAUAC